This is a long non-coding RNA of Dalotia coriaria, 4296 nucleotides long. RefSeq lists it as uncharacterized. The transcript has 2 exons. Lineage: Eukaryota; Metazoa; Arthropoda; Insecta; Coleoptera; Staphylinidae. The record is from RefSeq and is a predicted model, not a curated record.
GAUUCAUAAUUUAAUCGAAAUUAAAAGGUCCAUGCACUGUACGAGUACAAUUCUUUCCAUGUUCUGCAUUACCACACUGAAUGUAUCAGUGUUUACAAACAAACAAGUUUCUUAUCUUGUGUAAUUUUUGCGCAGUUGCCACGCGGUUCUCCUCGCGGUUGGCUUGCCUACCACGUCAGUCUCAUAUUAUAUUUGUCGAUGGGUGAUCUGCACGCACAUUUCCUUCUCAAUAAUUUGAGUUUCUUAAUUUCUUCGCGUCAUUACGUAAUAUUUCUAAAUACUCCUUCCAUUGUGCGCGAGUGAUGUGCGGCGUUCGUUAAAUGCAAAUUGUUUAUACGCAGAACGCAGAGGUAUAACGUGAUGUUAUAACCGUUAUAAUAUAACGUGAUGUUUCGUCGGCCGUCGGAUACUCUUUUUGUAUGAUACGCGUAUUUCAUCAUUUCUACAAUGUGGAUAAUUAAGGUCCUUACAAUUUAUUGGAUAGGCCAAAAGUGCAAAAAUAAAUUUUGUAUCAAGAUGAAGAUACGUUGUUCCAUGCCGUCGGCUGCGUUCUUGAUCCUCUGGCGGCUUUCCGGGCUGGUCGCUGGUUGUUUUGCAUGAUUUAAAAUAAAAUUCUGCUUUGGGCCUUAUUUUUGUAAUGUCCAACCUAUCACCUUUCCUUUAUAUCCAAAGAAAAUACAAUUUUUGAAAUGUUCUAUUUUUAUGUUUUCUUACUUUUCACUUUUCUUUGAUUUCCGGUCUAAACAUUUUGAUUUUAAAAAAUUCCUGAUGGCUUUCUUCUUAUAUUAUCUUGUUAUUGUCGCCUUGUUAAUUGUUUCCAUCCGUUUUCCUACUUAAAUCUUAAUUUUUCUUUGUGUAUCACUCAGGAGAUAUAUUUUCCUUAUCAAUUAAUAGACCAUAUUUAUUAGUGUUUGGGCGAUUUCCCGUGGAGUCAAAAGGCGAAAGAUAUAUGUUAUUUUACUUAAACUUAGAAUUUUCUUUUAAAAUAUUGUAGUUUUUUUGUAUCACCCUGUAUUAUAAUUUCUUGUAGUAGAUUUUUGUAGCACCCUGUAUACCAGUUUUCCGUGGUGAAUUUCUUAAAAUGGGAAAGAUAUAUUUCAUCCCACUUAAACUUAGGAUUUUUUUUAAAUUUUGUCGUUUUCUCUUUACAUCACCCUGUAUAUUAUAUUAUAUAUUUCCCUACUUGAAUUUUGCAUUUUCUCUUUAAAUGUUAUUAUAUUGUUUUGGAACACCCUGUAUAAUAGUUUCUCGUAAUUGCCUCAAAAAUUAUGCAAAAUUUGUUAGUAUUAUAUGUUUUUCUUUGUUAUUUUUUACCCUUGGUAUUUGUUUAUUGCAAAUCUAUCGAAAAUUUGCAUUAAAAGGUAAUUUUUUAACCCUUUAUCGUGAAAUAUUUGUAUUUUUUCGCGUUUGCACGCGACCUUGGGGCUCACUAACUUCAGCGCGCCGUCUGGAGAUGCGGAAUUAAAUUCUCCGUCGGGCUGUAUUUGUUUGUUGUUGGAAUUCGAUCUGCAACUCGCGAAAAUUUGCAUUAAAAGGUGACUUUUUUCACCCUUUAUCGUAAAAUGUUUGUAUUUUUUUCGCGUUUGCACGUGAUCUUGGCGUCUCAAUAAUUUCAGCGCGGCGUCUAGAGAUGCAAAAUUAAAUUCUCCGUUGGGUGGUAACUGUUUGUUGCAGGAAUUCGAGCUGCAACCCGCGAAAAUUUUCGAUAAAACGUAAUUUUUUUCAGCCUUUAUCGUAAAAUGUUUGUAUUUUUUCGGGUUUGCACGCUUAAUAACUUAUGCACGCGUCUAGAGAUGCAGAAUUAAAUUCUCCGUCGAGUGGUAUUUGCUUGUUGCUGGAAUUCGACCGGCAACUAGCAAAAAUUUGCAUUCCAUGGGGUUUUUUUCACCCUUUAUCGGGGAAUAUUUGUAUUUUAUCGCGUUUGUACGUUAUCUUGGCGUCACAAUAACUUCAGCGCGGCGCCUAGAGAUGCCGAAUUAAAUUCUCCGUCGGGUGGUGUUUAAUUGUUGCAGGAAUUUAGCCUGCAACGCGCAAAAGUUUGCAUAUCAGUGUAAUUUUUCAACCCUUUUUCGUAAAAUAUUUGUAUUUUUUGCGUUUGCACGUGAUCUUGGCGGUUCAAUAACUUCAGUGCGGCGUCUAGAGAUGCAGAAUUAAAUUCUCCGUUGGGUGGUAUUUGUUUGUUGCAGGAAUUCGACCUGCAACCCGCGAUAAUUUGCAUUAAAAUGUAAUUUGUUCACCAUUUAUCAUGAAGUAUUUGUAUUUUUUCGCGUUUGCACGUGAUCUUGGCGGCUCAAUAACUUCAAUAACUUUCAUUAUCUUCAAUCCGUUUGCCUUUAUUUAAAAGAUAUUUGUUACCGACUAUACAAAAAAAAUGACGCAGCAAAUAAGCUAUACAGUAAACUACGAAGACAAUAAAUUAUUUAUUUGGAAUGGAAAAUUAAAUUCCUGUUUUUCUCAAUCUUAUUACAUCCCAAAGCCAAUAAAUAUUGAAAAUAAAAGUAGAUUUCGUGUAUGUCGGUUAUUUCAACAUUGUGAAAUUUUUGUUUGGUUUUUUCAACUGCGAGUUUAUCAGUAAGUUUGUGUAUAAACAACUUUUGUUCGGCUGACGCGUAUUAUCGCUACGUACCAGCCUUGUACCUGGCUAAACGAAGCGCACACGUCGUUUCACCGCGUGGUCCGCGAACGUGUCUGUCGAAUCGCCAUGCGUUUUGAAGUUUUAAUUGGAUUAAUCGUCGUGUACUUUUUCGACCAUCAGCAAAAUAUUCGCAAUAGUCAUGUGUGCCUGUUUUGUGGGGUUUAGAGUCUCCUUAAAUAAGAAAUAAGUGUCCAUUAAUCUGUGCGUUUGUUUUCAGUUGAUAGAAUAUAUUCCAGGAUAUAAAAUCCCCUCAUCAAUACAUAGGUAGGUGUGCAAUUAAAUUGAGUGAUAUGAAAUUUGCAUGUAUUAUCUUGCAAAUCACUUUGCCGUCGGCCGUCGGCUCAUCCAUAUUUUCGCUGAACACGUGAAUGUUUUUAAUCGUUGAAUAGUUUUUCGUUUUCAUAGUCUCCAACUAAAAAUAGUUACGUUUAUCCUCUCGGACAACUGUAUUGCUACGCGCCGUCGCUUGCCGUCAGCUGAUUUGCAUGUUUUCCGCCGGAUAUUCUAUCAAUUUAUGAUGAUGCUUCACCCGUCGGUUACUUUAUGCAGUUGAUGCAUCAAUUAAUAAAUAUACAUUCCCUAUAUGUUAAAAUGUAAGUGUUUGAUUUUCGUACCAUCUUUUUGCUCAAUUUCCCGAUGAUUUUCGGGUAAAAUCUUGCAUUUUAUAUUAAAAUAUUGUUGUUUAUUUGUAAAUUUCUCUCUUCAUGUUGUGAAUAUUAACUCCUUUUGUAGAGUCCGACCGAAAUUGAAUUUUAGCCAAAACCGAAACCGAAACCGAAAUUUCGGCCCUGCAAUCAGUUUCGGCCGAAACCGAAACUAAUUUACAUAAACAUAUUUUUCUACUUUUACCUACACAUCGCCAGUUUUUCCACGGUUUUUAGAUACAUAAUCCAUUUCGGGAGUAAAGUCCUCGUUUAGUCACUGGAUACUUAAUAUAGUAUUAAUAUGAGCAAACUAAGAUGGCAAGCAACGACCGCCAUUAGCCGCGAAGUUAGCCGAGCGACGCACGACAAUUCACGAAAAGUGAGUUUCGGUGCGGCCGAAAAUUUCGGCCAUUUUUGGCCGAAACCGAAACUGAAGCCGAAACUCGAUUUCUUGGCCGAAACUGGCCGAAACCGAAACCGAAACCGAAAUUUCGGUUGUAGUUUCUAAAGUUAUCUUUUUGUAACACCAUGUAUAUUAGUUUUCCUAACACUACGUACAAAAUCGCCGGUAUUUGUGAGUUUUGAGUGUUCUUUGUUUCAAAUCGAAAUUUUCUUUCUGAAACACCCUGCAUAUUCAUUCUUUCUUUGUGUCCGUAAAAAUUUUGCUUCAACUUUUGUUUUUAGGGUUUUCCUCAUUGCCGUUUGAUUUUUUGUAACACCCUGUAUAUUAGUUUCCCUGAUCGUCGAGUGAAAACGAGCGACGUUUGUCGUGUUUAGAGUUUUUGUUUGCACUUUAAAAUUUCCUUUUGCAACACCCUGUAUAUUUGUUCCCAUUUUCUAUCACGUAGAAAAUUGACAAUUUGCUAAUUCCUUUAUCCCGGUAGAACUUAGUAGGUACUUGCUUAUAAGUGCGCGGCUAAGCAGGUCGUAAGUCCUGUUUCUAUAUGGCGACAUGUAUUUUGUUGACUUGUAAAAUCUAAACUUGUAUUUUAUUAUUAAUAAAGAAAUGUUAAGAAA